Long non-coding RNA from Eupeodes corollae, 329 nucleotides. RefSeq lists it as uncharacterized. The transcript is spliced from 2 exons. The record is from RefSeq and is a predicted model, not a curated record. Lineage: Eukaryota; Metazoa; Arthropoda; Insecta; Diptera; Syrphidae.
CAGGCCACUAAAGAACUCUACAAAACAAUAGGUACCUUAGUUUCAAAGCUUUUUAAGUCGACAACAAGAUAUUAUUUCUCUUUCCACAAACAGAUUCAAGUUAGUCAAUUAAUUUAUUAUUGUUAGGGAUUUCAUUCAUAUAAAUUUAAAUGACGGUCUUGAAAUUGAACUUUAGUCCAUGGAAACAAGUUUGUGUGUAGACAUACCUAUAGAUACAUUUUAUGUAACAUCUGAGUCUGUGCUUUUAGAUAAUUUCUUUAUUAUUAUGGAUUAUUUUUUUAUUCUCGUAUAAUAAAGCAAGAGUGGCUAUGCAUAUGCAAAGCGUAAAA